GGAUGUAGCGCAGUUGGUAGCGCGUCUGGUUUGGGACCAGAAUGUCGCAGGUUCAAGUCCUGUCAUCC
RNAcentral lists this transfer RNA (68 nucleotides) under uncultured Treponema sp. It matches the Rfam family "tRNA". Rfam says of the family: Transfer RNA (tRNA) molecules are approximately 80 nucleotides in length. Their secondary structure includes four short double-helical elements and three loops (D, anti-codon, and T loops). Further hydrogen bonds mediate the characteristic L-shaped molecular structure. tRNAs have two regions of fundamental functional importance: the anti-codon, which is responsible for specific mRNA codon recognition, and the 3' end, to which the tRNAs corresponding amino acid is attached (by aminoacyl-tRNA synthetases). tRNAs cope with the degeneracy of the genetic code in two manners: having more than one tRNA (with a specific anti-codon) for a particular amino acid; and 'wobble' base-pairing, i.e. permitting non-standard base-pairing at the 3rd anti-codon position. The record is from RNAcentral. Lineage: Bacteria; Pseudomonadati; Spirochaetota; Spirochaetia; Treponematales; Treponemataceae.